Molecule: microRNA precursor, 85 nt
Organism: Corchorus capsularis
Lineage: Eukaryota; Viridiplantae; Streptophyta; Magnoliopsida; Malvales; Malvaceae
Rfam family: mir-156 microRNA precursor family
About the family: This family represents the plant microRNA (miRNA) precursor mir-156. Animal miRNAs are transcribed as ~70nt precursors and subsequently processed by the Dicer enzyme to give a ~22nt product.
Source: Rfam
UUGACAGAAGAGAGUGAGCACACAGAGGACACAAUUGUAUAAUUCUAUACUUUUGCUUUUGCGUGCUCACUUCUCUUCCUGUCAG